AGCAUGCUUAUGUUUGAGGAGUCUGGAGGCUUGCACCUUUCUGGUGCUUUCUGCCCUUAAGCUGGUGGAGAGUUGUCUGGUUCCGAUGGAGGAUUGCAUCUAGUUACCCAGUUCUGAUUCAGGUUGUGGUGCGCUAUUUUCUCAUAAAGGACUCUUGUGACCUUGCCUGGGUGUGCAGCUGAUAUGGAGAAUAUGCCAAGUCAACUGGAUGAGUCAGCACAGGCAACACAAAGGACUGCAGUUAAAAGCCAGGGCUAGGACUUGGAGGAUGUGUAGGCAAACGGAAGGAGAGCCGGGGGAAGAAAAACCGAAAUGGAUUCAUUCUCUGUCCUGGAUGGAGGAGGAGAGGAGAGGAGAGGAGAAGGGGACGUGCGAGCUUCCUUCAACUGCCUCUGUCCGGUGAAAAGUGCUCAGACCCCCGGGGCUGAGCCGGGCUCAGGAGUCCACGCGGACUUUCGCUUUAAGCUGCCAAUCAAACCGCUAACUAGCCACCACCCUGCGCUGGCACCGACAUGGUCUGCGGGAUCUCCCUCUGUGAGAGGCAACUCGGGCAGCUCGGUCCUCUCUGCAGUCUCAGCACUGCCAGUGGAGAAGCCCAGGAGUGCAGAGCAGUGGCUGAGCAGCAAUUUGAAUAUUCAUAUUUAA
RNAcentral lists this long non-coding RNA (645 nucleotides) under Falco tinnunculus (common kestrel). Its description in RNAcentral is "lncRNA (ENSFTIG00000005137.1)". The stretch from base 241 to 514 matches the Rfam family "SOX2 overlapping transcript exon 3". Lineage: Eukaryota; Metazoa; Chordata; Aves; Falconiformes; Falconidae. The record is from RNAcentral.